This is a transfer RNA of Colletotrichum fioriniae PJ7, 106 nucleotides long. It matches the Rfam family "tRNA". Rfam says of the family: Transfer RNA (tRNA) molecules are approximately 80 nucleotides in length. NCBI's taxonomy places the organism in Eukaryota, Fungi, Ascomycota, Sordariomycetes, Glomerellales, Glomerellaceae. The record is from Rfam.
GGUCUGGUGGUGUAGUUGGUUAUCACGUCAGUCUAACAGUUCGAGAGCCUCUCCACUCUCUCGUCUGCCUCACUGAAGGUCUCCGGUUCAAGUCCGGGCUAGAUCA